UUUUUUUGCUGACAAAAUGGGCAUUUUGGCGUUGUAACAUUAGGUUUUCCGCAUUUAUAACAAAAUAGAGCUCGUUGCUCAACUGGACAUUCCAUAAAUACAUGACCAGAAACUUUACAAUUCCAGCAAAUUACUGGUUGCUUUUGUUGUUGUUGUUGUCCAAAUUGCAAUGCAUCUACGUCAAUUAUUUCAGGACGAGUUAUGACAUCAUUAUCUUCGGCAUCAUCAUAAUAUAUUUCAUUUACUUGCCUAGACAUUCGUGUAGUUGGCAUAGGAUUUCUAAAUUCUUUUCUAGGGAAAUUUCUUUCCGCUUCGUUGCACUCAAUGCGUAACUGCUCUACUGAAGAAACUGAUAUAGGGUAAACUAUUCUUGCAACAUUUAGAUUAAGGUUUCUUUUAAAAAUUUUGAUCAUAUCAUAUUCUGGUAUAGGCUGUGUCAAUUUUGACCUCAGCUUAUUCAUCACAUGAAAAUAAUCAUCGAUCGAUUCAGAAUUUUCCUGUUUUCUUUCGACUAAAUCUCUCAUAACUUCAAAAUUAGACCUUGGUUUUUGAUAUUGUGAUAACAAGGCUAAGCGAAGAACUGGCCAUUCUGUCAUACCAUGCAUUCCUAUGAAAGACCAAUACCAAUCCUUUACCGAAUCUGAAACUAGUAAAUGAAAAUCUCGAACAACUUCUCUCUCGGGGAUAUUAUAAUGUGCCCUCAAAUGUUCCAAUCUAAAUAUAAAAUCAUCAAUAGUGAUAGAUUUGUUAUCAAAAACAAUACCUAAUUUAUCAAUCCUAAUUUGUCUAAAAUCAAAUAUCUCUUGAUUUCCAGGUCCAGCAUUAUUCUCCUUUCUCGACGGACAAUUUGCAGGAUGAUUAGCAGGGAAUUGGAAAUUAAAACCAGGAAGAUUGGGUGUACGAGUUGAAUAACGAUCAGGCAUCAACAUUAUGAACAUUUCCUACAUUGCGAAUGCGGUUGUUGUUGUUGGGAAAAUUAUUGGGAGUACUUCCCGUUUGAUUUGAGGCAACCACACGGGACAGAUUCUCUACAGCCUUGGCUAAAUCACCGAUGUUCUUUUUAAUAUCUACCAUCUCGUCCUGCACCAUUUUGCGGACUUUAUCUUCUAGAGAUCUUUGUACCAUCAUGGCUUCAUCUACCACCAAGUUUCUGACACCUGGUGCUAACCCCUCAUCAUUGCCUUCACAACUAACUACCGGAUUUGACACUACUGCUUCCCCCGGGGCUCCUGCUAUUAUCGUCCCAGAAAGGUUCUGUAUGGAUUGUGGAUCUAUUCAAAUCAAAAUCUGGAUUUCUAUUUCGUUUUCUAUUUUUUUGUAUUGCGAUUGAUGUACUUGCUUCUAUUUCACUUUGCCUAUUGUAUUUUCUAGUUUGAUUUCUAGUAUUAACAUUCAUACCUUUAACAUCUAAUCAUACACAAAAUUUACUAGACUAUUCACUAACGCUAAAAAAUAUAAACAAAUAUUGUAUAGGAUUUUAAAAAAUAACGAUAUGUAUGUAUACGAAAAACUAACAAACAAAAUUCAAACAAUUUUGCAAAAGCAAUAAUUUAAAAAAU
Molecule: long non-coding RNA, 1559 nt
Organism: Calliphora vicina (urban bluebottle blowfly)
Lineage: Eukaryota; Metazoa; Arthropoda; Insecta; Diptera; Calliphoridae
Exons: 3
Source: RefSeq, a predicted model, not a curated record